Molecule: non-coding RNA, 207 nt
Filed under: bovine gut metagenome
Source: RNAcentral
AGAACUGAUAUUCCGACGGAUGAAAUGAGGGAGUAACGUCCUGAAGCGUCCGCCCUGAUACUCCGAAUAGCGGGAGGCAUGCAACGGUCUCCCCUACAAGAUUAUAAAGCUCGGUGAAGUCGGCAGAGAACCGCCGUCAGUCUGAUUUUCAGAUCAGAUACGAAAGCUGUCCAGAGGUGGAUGGUGCGGCCUAUAUGCCGGGGGUCA